UUUCCGUAGGUGAACCUGCGGAAGGAUCAUUAACAGUGGAUUGGGGGGCGUAUAGCCACUGUAUCAUUCCUCGGCGACCCGAGAGUGUUAUCCUUGGGCACCGCCAUAGAAUAGUCUCUACCAGAGGGAGAGAAUAGAAACUGCAGCGGAUAAGAAGGGCGUUGAUGACCGGGUUGAAUCUCCAUUGUGCAUUGUGCUUAUUACGUAAUGACACAAGGUAUACAAAGUAAAUAAACAGGUUAUCCGGACCUGUCAACAUUCGUCCGUUUAAAUAGACUGUUGAGAAAUUAAGGCAAUAAAAUAGAUGUACAGGACACAUAGGCUAUGAGAGUCUGAGAGCCUCGCACCCCAGAGCUUUCUGGGGGACGUUGAUCGAAGUGGAUCCCGAGGCUCCUUGCCCGGUACCGCCUUCUAGAGAGCCGGGGACAGCCGACGGCUGGAACCCUAGGUUUGACCGACGCCCCUGGCGUCCCGAUUACCGCAUUCUUCGCCUGCUGGAGUCAAAGGAGUGUGGAUGUUUCUAGGGUACUUGGAGCGGGCAGUCUCUGUCUGUAAGCGGCUCCUUGCCCCACCUCGCAAGCCGGCUUUUGCGGUCGCCUUCGAUCUUUCCGGUCGAUUUGGAAACAGUCAAGGAGCACAGGCCCUUGGUCGGCCGUACUCUGUUCAGAGAGCUUGCGUGCGUUGGGUCCCUGAUCGUUGUAGUGCGUAUACGUUAGCCUGCUUCGCUGGGGUUCGAUCAACAAGGAGUGACAAACCGCACCUAUAGAACAUCUGCAUUAUUAUAAAUCCUGACACCAACCGAUGGUAAGAAGUUCCGUGGAUAAUGCGACGCCAGGAUCACUAAGGCCCUUCUCUAGAAGGAUUAUGAGUGUACUGGGAUGGUAGGGUGCACCUCGGACCCCGCGCUUUCUAGUGCGUGUCCUUUUACCAAAGUGCAAGGCUUCGACAAGCGCCGAACGCUUAAAGUUGCUUGCCAGACACGGGUAUGUAUUAAGUCUGGCGGUAGCUCGACAACUGCGCUAAUUCCGGGUAGGCUACCCACCUGAGCGGCCUAGGUAUCUCGUGCAUCCCUAUGGCGAGUAAGGACGGUCGGUAGCCCCGGAGUGCCCGGGCAGGCUGCGAUCGCGGCGACGAUCGUAGACCUGUAACGGAUAAGCUUCGGCGCUGCCUAAGGAAAAAUCGACGACAAAAUAGGGACUCUCACACAAAUGGUCUCAAGUACUGUCUAUACACUGGCACUUGCUGUAGUUAAACUCUUCUUCUGAGACGGAGGCGCAGCUGGCUAUGCUGACCCCUUUCUCUAAACCCCAACCCUUGAAUAUAAUACCUCUGUUGCCUCGGCGGGUACGCCCGUCAGAGGACGCAAACUAAAUUCUGUACUAAUGGCGUUGUCUGAGCGAAAUAAGCAAUUGUUAAAACUUUCAACAACGGAUCUCUUGGUUCUGGCAUCGAUGAAGAACGCAGCGAAAUGCGAUAAGUAGUGUGAAUUGCAGAAUUUAGUGAAUCAUCGAAUCUUUGAACGCACAUUGCGCCCUUUGGUACCCUGAAGGGCAUGCCUGUUCGAGCGUCAUUAUCACUACUCAAAGCUAGGUCGAGCCUAGCUUGGUGUUGGGGGAUGUCCCGCUCUUGGGCGCGGACUCCCUUUAAAAUUAUUCGGCGGCACGAUGUCGGCUCUGAGCGCAGCAGAAACUUCGCUCUGCAGGCCCCGGCACUGUGUUAGCCUUGAACCUCUCUCUAGGUUGACCUCGGAUCAGGUAGGGAUACCCGCUGAACUUAA
RNAcentral lists this small RNA (1777 nucleotides) under Glonium sp. 'macrosporum'. RNAcentral describes it as "eukaryotic LSU rRNA". The stretch from base 1417 to 1570 matches the Rfam family "5.8S ribosomal RNA". Lineage: Eukaryota; Fungi; Ascomycota; Dothideomycetes; Gloniales; Gloniaceae. The record is from RNAcentral.